RNAcentral lists this ribosomal RNA (440 nucleotides) under Wolbachia endosymbiont of Trioza erytreae. RNAcentral's name for it is "bacterial SSU rRNA". It matches the Rfam family "Bacterial small subunit ribosomal RNA", at positions 991 to 1428 of the family's 1533-position model. The record is from RNAcentral. Lineage: Bacteria; Pseudomonadati; Pseudomonadota; Alphaproteobacteria; Rickettsiales; Anaplasmataceae.
CAUACCUCUUUUUUAAGGGAUAGGGUCGGUUCGGCCGGAUUUUACACAGGUGUUGCAUGGCUGUCGUCAGCUCGUGUCGUGAGAUGUUGGGUUAAGUCCCGCAACGAGCGCAACCCUCAUCCUUAGUUGCCAUCAGGUAAUGCUGAGCACUUUAAGGAAACUGCCAGUGAUAAGCUGGAGGAAGAUGGGGAUGAUGUCAAGUCAUCAUGGCCUUUAUGAAGUGGGCUACACACGUGCUACAAUGGUGUCUACAGUGGGCUGCAAGGUGCGCAAGCCUAAGCUAAUCCCUAAAAGACAUCUCAGUUCGGAUUGUACUCUGCAACUCGAGUGCAUGAAGUUGGAAUCGCUAGUAAUCGUGGAUCAGCAUGCCACGGUGAAUACGUUCUCGGGUCUUGUACACACUGCCCGUCACGCCAUGGGAAUUGGUUUCUUCCAAAGCU